CAGGAGGGACCACCCUCCAAGGCUAAAUACUACCUAGUGACCGAUAGCGUAUAGUACCGUGAGGGAAAGGUGAAAAGAACCCCGGGAGGGGAGUGAAAUAGAACCUGAAACCCUGCACUUACAAGCUGUGGAAGCACAUUUCUUGUGUGACCGCGUACUUUUUGUAGAACGGGCCAACGAGUUACGUUAAGUAGCAAGGUUAAGCACUUAAGGUGCGGAGCCGUAGCGAAAGCGAGUUUUAACUGAGCGUUCAGUUACUUGACGUAGACCCGAAACCGGGCGACCUACCCAUGAGCAGGAUGAAGCGAAAGUAAAAUUUCGUGGAGGUCCGAACCCACGAGCGUUGAAAAGCUCGGGGAUGACUUGUGGGUAGCGGUGAAAUUCCAAUCGAGCCCGGAGAUAGCUGGUUCUCCCCGAAAUAGCUUUAGGGCUAGCCUCAAGGUGAGAGAUACGGAGGUAGAGCACUGAAUGUCCUAGGGGGUAUUGCACCUACCGAAGACUAUCAAACUCCGAAUGCCGUCAUCUUAUACUUGGGAGUCAGACUGUGGGUGAUAAGAUUCAUAGUCGAAAGGGCAACAGCCCAGAUCGUCAGCUAAGGUCCCUAAAUGUAAGUUAAGUGGUAAAGGAUGUGGGAUUGCACAGACAACCAGGAUGUUGGCUUAGAAGCAGCCACUCAUUCAAAGAGUGCGUAAUAGCUCACUGGUCGAGUGAUCCUGCGCCGAAGAUUUCCGGGGCUAAAACUUACUACCGAAGCUACGGCAUCAGUAAUGAUGGGUAGGGGAGCUUCCCAUACGGGUUGAAGCAUGACCGUAAGGACAUGUGGACAGUAUGGGAGUGAGAAUGUUGGCAUGAGUAGCGAGAUGUGGGUGAGAAUCCCACAGGCCGUAAACCCAAGGUUUCCAGGGGAAGGUUCGUCCGCCCUGGGUUAGUCGGGACCUAAGCUGAGGCCGAAAGGCGUAGGUGAUGGACAACAGGUUGAUAUUCCUGUACUACCGAUAACCGUUUGAGAGAAGGGAUGACACAGUAGGAUAAGCUAAGCACACUGUUGGUUAUGUGUGCCCAAGCAUUGAGGCAGUCAAAGUAGGCAAAUCCGCUUUGAUAAUGCUGGGAUGUGAUGGGGAGCGAAAUUUAGUAGCGAAGUAGCUGAUUUCACACUGUCAAGAAAAGUCUCUAUCGAGGUUAAAGGUACCCGUACCGCAAACCGACACAGGUGGGUGAGGAGAGUAUCCUAAGGCCAGCGAGAGAACUGUUGUUAAGGAACUCGGCAAAAUGACCCCGUAACUUAGGGAUAAGGGGUGCCACCAUCAGGUGGCCGCAGAGAAUAGGCCCAAGCGACUGUUUACCAAAAACAUAGGUUUCUGCUAAGUCGCAAGACGAUGUAUAGGAGCUGACGCCUGCCCGGUGCUGGAAGGUUAAGGGGAUCUGUUAGAGCAAUCGAAGCAGUGAACUUAAGCCCCAGUAAACGGCGGCCGUAACUAUAACGGUCCUAAGGUAGCGAAAUUCCUUGUCGGGUAAGUUCCGACCCGCACGAAAGGCGUAACGAUUUGGGCACUGUCUCAACAACAGACUCGGUGAAAUUGUAAUUCCGGUGAAGAUGCCGGAUACCUGCGACAGGACGGAAAGACCCCAUGGAGCUUUACUGUAGCUUGACAUUGGGUCUUGGUACUACAUGUACAGGAUAGGUGGGAGGCUUUGAAACCAGGACGCCAGUUUUGGCGGAGCCAUCCUUGGGAUACCACCCUUGUAGUACUGGGACUCUAACCAUAGGCCAUGAAUCUGGUCUUGGGACACUGUCAGGUGGGCAGUUUGACUGGGGCGGUCGCCUCCCAAAAGGUAACGGAGGCGCUCAAAGGUUCUCUCAGUACGGUCGGAAAU
RNAcentral lists this ribosomal RNA (1875 nucleotides) under Clostridioides difficile. RNAcentral describes it as "bacterial LSU rRNA". It matches the Rfam family "Bacterial large subunit ribosomal RNA", at positions 444 to 2338 of the family's 2925-position model. The record is from RNAcentral. Lineage: Bacteria; Bacillati; Bacillota; Clostridia; Peptostreptococcales; Peptostreptococcaceae.